Molecule: long non-coding RNA, 536 nt
Filed under: Manacus vitellinus (golden-collared manakin)
Lineage: Eukaryota; Metazoa; Chordata; Aves; Passeriformes; Pipridae
Description: lncRNA (ENSMVIG00005001516.1)
Source: RNAcentral
UGGUCGCUUCUGUAUUGGUUCAUCCAUUUUCAGGGGAAGUGAAACACAAAAUGCCACUCUUUCUGCAGGAGAUCCCUUGUGUGGCUCAGAUAGUGAAGAUGCAGAACAACUAGGUGGAGAUCACACAUCCUCCCCAACUCCUUCAACUAUGGCACAUGAACCUGGACAGCAUUUAGGAUGAGCUCUGAGACACAGUUCAGGGCUGUUGCGGUCACUGAAGCUUUAAUUGAAAAUUGCUGAAACAUGGACACCUAGUGGAGACACCCCACUCUGACAGUUCUUUUUCCAGUUGAAAUACAGUUUAAAAAUGGACUUUUACUGAUGGUCUUGCCCGAACCUGGAGUUUUGUCCUUGUUUCUCACUGCCCUGCCCAGGUGAGGGCAUGAGGUGAAGGUGAGAGUCAGAAUUUGACAAAACAGAAGCUGUACAUCAUUUAACAACUCACCUAGGGGAUUGAUGAAGCAGAAAAACUAAUGACCUACAAAAGAACAAAUGUUUCAUCACCAAAAGAUAAAUAAAUCUGAUGCUGGAGCUCA